GAGAUGGGCUCGCGUCCGAUUAGCCAGUUGGUGAGGUAACGGCCCACCAAAGCAACGAUCGGUAGCCGGACUGAGAGGGUGACCGGCCACACUGGAACUGAGACACGGUCCAGACUCCUACGGGAGGCAGCAGUGGGGAAUAUUGCACAAUGGAGGGAACUCUGAUGCAGCGACGCCGCGUGAGCGAAGAAGGCCUUCGGGUUGUAAACUUCUUWGAUCGGGGACGAAAGAGACGGUACCCGAGGAACAAGCCACGGCUAACUACGUGCCAGCAGCCGCGGUAAUACGUAGGUGGCGAGCGUUGUCCGGAAUUACUGGGCGUAAAGGGCGUGUAGGCGGGGGGACAAGUCAGAUGUGAAAUACCGCAGCUUAACUGCGGGGCUGCAUCUGAAACUGUUCUUCUUGAGUGUCGGAGAGGAAAGUGGAAUUCCCAGUGUAGCGGUGAAAUGCGUAGAGAUUGGGAGGAACACCAGUGGCGAAGGCGGCUUUCUGGACGACAACUGACGCUGAGGCGCGAAAGCGUGGGGAGCAAACAGGAUUAGAUACCCUGGUAGUCCACGCUGUAAYCSAUGGUACUAGGUGUAGGAGGUAUCGACCCCUUCUGUGCCGGAGUUAACACAAUAAGUAUCCCGCCCUGGGGA
This 641-nucleotide ribosomal RNA is filed under the name uncultured Clostridium sp. RNAcentral describes it as "bacterial SSU rRNA". It matches the Rfam family "Bacterial small subunit ribosomal RNA", at positions 222 to 879 of the family's 1533-position model. The record is from RNAcentral. Lineage: Bacteria; Bacillati; Bacillota; Clostridia; Eubacteriales; Clostridiaceae.